RNAcentral lists this ribosomal RNA (255 nucleotides) under uncultured Stenotrophomonas sp. RNAcentral describes it as "partial 16S ribosomal RNA". It matches the Rfam family "Bacterial small subunit ribosomal RNA", at positions 97 to 354 of the family's 1533-position model. The record is from RNAcentral. Lineage: Bacteria; Pseudomonadati; Pseudomonadota; Gammaproteobacteria; Lysobacterales; Lysobacteraceae.
GGCGGACGGGUGAGGAAUACAUCGGAAUCUACUCUGUCGUGGGGGAUAACGUAGGGAAACUUACGCUAAUACCGCAUACGACCUACGGGUGAAAGCAGGGAUCUUCGGACCUUGCGCGAUUGAAUGAGCCGAUGUCGGAUUAGCUAGUUGGCGGGGUAAAGGCCCACCAAGGCGACGAUCCGUAGCUGGUCUGAGAGGAUGAUCAGCCACACUGGAACUGAGACACGGUCCAGACUCCUACGGGAGGCAGCAGGC